UCACCCCUCAAGCCCAGCUUGGUGUUGAGGCCUGCCGUGAAGGCAGCCUCUAAAAUCAGUGGCAGUGCUGUCAGGCUCUAAGCGUAGUAAAUCUCUCGCUACAGGGUCUUGAUGGACACUCGCCAGAACCCCCAAUUUUUAAU
RNAcentral lists this unclassified non-coding RNA (143 nucleotides) under uncultured Dothideomycetes. RNAcentral's name for it is "partial internal transcribed spacer 2". Lineage: Eukaryota; Fungi; Ascomycota; Dothideomycetes. The record is from RNAcentral.